ACCAUGGCUACAAGAGUCAUGCCCCACAAUGAACAACCAUAUUCCAUGUUGGUGAAAAGCAGUGGGAGUGCUGCAAACACGAAAGGCUGAAUAGUUCCCCAAUGGUUUCUGAAGGCUGGAGAGGACCAGUAGCUGCCUAGUCCAAGAAGCUGGAAUCUUCAGAACAGGAGACACCAACAGUGCAGCCCCAGUUUGAGUUACAAACUGGCACCCUAACUCUCCUCGGUGGCUGGGAAGGUCCUCCAGGGGCAGCUUGGCCCAACUGAGCAGACAGGAUGCAGAAUAAGGCAUCAGGUCCAAGUUCCAGCCAUCGUAUCCCUUCCGUGAGUUAUGUGACCUUUUACAGGACACCCAGAAAAUCUCGAAAAUGGCCAGAAGAGACAUACAGAAUCUACGAUCCUUUUUCCUUGGGGGUCCAGUCCUUCUUCAAAGACAUCGGAAAACAAUGGAUUGACCCAGAAACUACAUGCUGCCUGAGGAGCUUCUAUCCCCAGAGAUCUUGCUUAUACUGUGCCACAACCCAGACCUUCUUCACAGGAACAGAGACAAUCAGGCAGGGUGACACAGCUUUAGUUUCAGGCUACUGUGCCACCCAUAGAACAGCAUACAGUUGGUGCCGUCGUCCUGAUUAGACGCUUAGUGGGAUCCACCUCAACUGGUUCCCCGUACAUUCCUUGGGAUGUUUCUUGAUCCACUUGUUUUGCCACACUCCCACAGUGCCCCGACCUGGAUUUGGUCCUCCGGACUACAGUCUCUCCCGCUGGCUAUACUGGAUUGCGACAUUUUUAGAAUCAUUAGAGCCCUCAUAUCAUUUGAGACCUGAAGUUUGAUGGCUAUAUACACCCAGAUUAAAGGUUGCUAAGUUUAGGCUGUUAACAAAUCCACAACCAGCUUAUAAAUGUACUCCUAAUGUUUAUGUUCCUCUCACUAGCCCGGGGUCAUUACAGGAUUUGGCCAUUAAAGUAGUAUUACAACCUACUAGGGAAACAAUAAAAUUAGAACUACUGGCUCAAGACUACCAUCAUUGACAUAAAAAAUGCCAAACCCGACCAAACACCUAUGCCCAUAACUUUAAAAAUAAUGUUUCUUUCUAGGAUCCUCAUCGUCCCAGUUCAGCAGGAAGCAUUUCUUGAGGACGCAGCCCCUAAUCCCCAAGAUUGGACAUUAACAGUUGCUUGAGAAGGGGGAAAUGAGGAGCCAGAGUUUCUCUUAUCUUUACUAAGGCCAAAGUCCUUCCAUUUUAACUAAUUUAGAAUAAACUUCAGUAACACCACUCUUCCCCUCCUUAACCAUUAUUUAGAUUGUUCCAUCAGAUAAAUGGGAAAUAGAUGAAUAAAACCCAUUCCCCUCCGCAGAAGACAUGGUCUGCUAGAACAAAGAAGCAGGAUGUUCUGCUAAGAUAAGAACGGGCUGUAGUGAUCAGUUGAAUAAGGCAAAUUCCAUUCCACAGACCUCAUCUGCACACA
Molecule: long non-coding RNA, 1466 nt
Organism: Fukomys damarensis (Damara mole-rat)
Lineage: Eukaryota; Metazoa; Chordata; Mammalia; Rodentia; Bathyergidae
Exons: 4
Source: RefSeq, a predicted model, not a curated record